Molecule: small nuclear RNA, 102 nt
Organism: Suncus etruscus (white-toothed pygmy shrew)
Lineage: Eukaryota; Metazoa; Chordata; Mammalia; Eulipotyphla; Soricidae
Source: RefSeq, a predicted model, not a curated record
GUGAUUGCUUUGGCAGCACAUAUCCUAAAAUUGAAAUAAAACACAGAAGAUUAGCAUAUCCCUACACAAGGAUAUUAUGCAAAUUUGAGAACCUAUAUUUUA